CUUGGUCAUUUAGAGGAAGUAAAAGUCGUAACAAGGUUUUGUCAGAAGAUCCUUCUUCGAAGCCUUCCACACAACGACUCUAACCAUGUGUGCAGUCUAGAAAUAGGCGACGUCACCCCUGUGCUGGAACCCUAUCGUUCAGAUGGCGGACCAGCAGCCAGGAUUUCCUGGUCCACAGAUUAGGUGGUGGCGGUCCUUGGAUUUUAACCCUGGGAUCAAGAUAUAAUCGGUCCCCAUUGAUCUUUGAUGGUUGAGAAACGUUCCGUAGGUGAACCUGCGGAAGGAUCAUUACCGAGUUAGGGUCUUUUGGGCCCGACCUCCAACCCUAUAUUUAAACUACCAUGUUGCUUCGGCGGAACCGCCUCGCGGCCGCCGGGGGAGUACUCCUCUGGCCCGUGUCCGCCGAUAGCCUUACCACAAAUUCUUCACGAACCGUGUCGUCUAAGUACUACUACAAUUAAACCAAAACUUUCAACAACGGAUCUCUUGGUUCUGGCAUCGAUGAAGAACGCAGCGAAAUGCGAUAAGUAAUGCGAAUUGCAGAAUUCAGUGAGUCAUCGAAUCUUUGAACGCACAUUGCGCCCUUUGGUAUUCCGAAGGGCAUGCCUGUUCGAGCGUCAUUAUCACCAAUCAAGCCCGGCUUGUAGUUGGACCCAGGUGGUCGAAAGACGACCGGUCCGAAAGACAAUGGCGGUGUCUGUGGGACCCUCGGUGCAAUGAGCUUCUCAGCACGCACGGGAGCGGUCUCCGGGCCUAGUCUCAACCACAAAUCUUUACAAGGUUGACCUCGAAUCAGGUAGGAAUACCCGCUGAACUUAAGCAUAUCAAUAAGCGGAGGA
This 839-nucleotide ribosomal RNA is filed under the name uncultured Ascomycota. RNAcentral describes it as "eukaryotic LSU rRNA". The stretch from base 467 to 620 matches the Rfam family "5.8S ribosomal RNA". Lineage: Eukaryota; Fungi; Ascomycota. The record is from RNAcentral.